GAUGAAGAACGUAGCGAAAUGCGAUAAGUAGUGUGAAUUGCAGAAUUCUGUGAAUCAUCGAAUCUUUGAACGCACAUUGCGCCCUUUGGUAUUCCAAAGGGCAUGCCUGUUCGAGCGUCAUUUGUACCCUCAAGCUUUGCUUGGUGUUGGGCGUCUUGUCUCUAGCUUUGCUGGAGACUCGCCUUAAAGUAAUUGGCAGCCGGCCUACUGGUUUCGGAGCGCAGCACAAGUCGCACUCUCUAUCAGCAAAGGUCUAGCAUCCAUUAAGCCUUUUUUUCAACUUUUGACCUCGGAUCAGGUAGGGAUACCCGCUGAACUUAAGCAUAUCAAUAAGCGGAGGA
Molecule: unclassified non-coding RNA, 341 nt
Filed under: soil metagenome
Description: partial contains 5.8S ribosomal RNA, internal transcribed spacer 2, and large subunit ribosomal RNA
Rfam family: 5.8S ribosomal RNA (bases 1-120)
Source: RNAcentral